RNAcentral lists this ribosomal RNA (301 nucleotides) under uncultured bacterium. Its description in RNAcentral is "partial 16S ribosomal RNA". It matches the Rfam family "Bacterial small subunit ribosomal RNA", at positions 509 to 807 of the family's 1533-position model. The record is from RNAcentral.
CAGUAGCCGCGGGAAUACGUAGGGUGCGAGCGUUAGUCGGAAUUACUGGGCGUAAAGCGUGCGCAGGCGGUUUUGUAAGACAGGCGUGAAAUCCCCGGGCUCAACCUGGGAAUGGCGCUUGUGACUGCAAAGCUAGAGUGCGGCAGAGGGGGAUGGAAUUCCGCGUGUAGCAGUGAAAUGCGUAGAUAUGCGGAGGAACACCGAUGGCGAAGGCAAUCCCCUGGGCCUGCACUGACGCUCAUGCACGAAAGCGUGGGGAGCAAACAGGAUUAGAUACCCCGGUAGUCCCUGUCUCUUAUAC